GCUUGCUUCAGCAACACAUAUACUAAAACUGGAACGAUCCCGAGAAGAUUAGCAUGGCCCCUGAGCAAAGACGACACUCCAAUUUGUAAAGCGUUCCAUAUUUUU
Non-coding RNA from Mus musculus (house mouse), 105 nucleotides. NCBI's taxonomy places the organism in Eukaryota, Metazoa, Chordata, Mammalia, Rodentia, Muridae. The record is from Rfam.